Molecule: unclassified non-coding RNA, 150 nt
Filed under: uncultured Xylariales
Lineage: Eukaryota; Fungi; Ascomycota; Sordariomycetes; Xylariales
Description: sequence contains ITS1
Source: RNAcentral
CAGAGUUGUAAAACUCCCAAACCCAUGUGAACAUACCUGUUGCCUCGGCGGCCUACCCGGCAGCUACCCUGUAGCUACCCUGUAGUCCGCCGACGGAUCUCAAAAACUCUUGUUUUCAAUUGUAUCUCUGAGAAUAAAACAAAUAAAUCA